UGGGGAAUUUUGGACAAUGGGCGAAAGCCUGAUCCAGCAAUGCCGCGUGUGUGAAGAAGGCCUUCGGGUUGUAAAGCACUUUUGUCCGGAAAGAAAUCCUUGGCUCUAAUACAGUCGGGGGAUGACGGUACCGGAAGAAUAAGCACCGGCUAACUACGUGCCAGCAGCCGCGGUAAUACGUAGGGUGCAAGCGUUAAUCGGAAUUACUGGGCGUAAAGCGUGCGCAGGCGGUUUGCUAAGACCGAUGUGAAAUCCCCGGGCUCAACCUGGGAACUGCAUGGUGACUGGCAGGCUAGAGUAUGGCAGAGGGGGGUAGAAUUCCACGUGUAGCAGUGAAAUGCGUAGAGAUGUGGAGGAAUACCGAUGGCGAAGGCAGCCCCCUGGGCCAAGUACUGACGCUCAUGCACGAAAGCGUGGGGAGCAAACAGGAUUAGAUACCCUGGUAGUCCACGCCCUAAACGAUGUCAACUAGUUGUUGGGGAUUCAUUUCCUUAGUAACGUAGCUAACGCGUGAAGUUGACCGCCUGGGGAGUACGGUCGCAAGAUUAAAACUCAAAUGAAUUGACGGGGUCAUAGCUGUUUCCU
RNAcentral lists this ribosomal RNA (585 nucleotides) under uncultured bacterium. RNAcentral's name for it is "partial 16S ribosomal RNA". It matches the Rfam family "Bacterial small subunit ribosomal RNA", at positions 355 to 1375 of the family's 1533-position model. The record is from RNAcentral.